UUGGGGUCAUAUUUGGCUUUUGGUUGUUUGCUUGGCUCUUUUGCCUUGCGGGUGGCCAUUUGCCAGCGCGRCUUUGGGGAUGUCUAUCGUAAAGGUGCAUGAGUGGUGUUUGGUUUGAUACGGGUGGUUGGCUCCCUGCUUGAGCAGGCACGACCACRCGUACAUUCCUUUUCAGUYAUGCGRCAAGGCUUGUAUCGUCUUGAUCGUAUAUGUGGGUUUCCUGUGUUGCAUACCUGAUCAAUGGCAUUGUUUUGAUCAAAAASGUACCUUUUUCGUCAGGCRUUGCACCCGCAAUGUCGGAUGAACCAUGCAGCAUCCUCUUUGAUCCAUAUAGUCGAUGAUUGUUYGUUGAUUGUUUGGCCCGUUGAGGGUGGCUUGGUCUCUUGGAUAUGGAAGCCAAAGUGGGCAUGGGUUCGUAUGAUCCUUUUAAUGCCCUYGUUGAGYGUUCUCGCUUCUCUACACGACARCCUUUCACGUAUGGCACGUCCCAGCGUGUUUGGCUAYGUCGAAGAGGAAUGCUACC
Molecule: unclassified non-coding RNA, 523 nt
Filed under: Olearia canescens
Lineage: Eukaryota; Viridiplantae; Streptophyta; Magnoliopsida; Asterales; Asteraceae
Description: partial external transcribed spacer
Source: RNAcentral